Molecule: long non-coding RNA, 663 nt
Filed under: Marmota monax (woodchuck)
Lineage: Eukaryota; Metazoa; Chordata; Mammalia; Rodentia; Sciuridae
Source: RNAcentral
AAUCUCUUUCUGCUCAAAACAGCACAGUAGACCAAAUUUUGCUAAUAUGUCAUGUACUAAAACAUAAUUUUUGAGUUCUAAACAACUAAUUUUAGACUAGAUUCUGAAUCUAUUAAUUUAUGGAUUUGGUAUGUACAGGAACCAUUCCAGUGCCUUUCAAUUUGUCCCUGAAUUUUUUCUCUUUAAACUUCCAGGCAGUAAUUUAUCUUAAGGCCCUAAAAUUGAAUAAAGCUAAAUAUUUGGAGCUCAUAAAUUAUCUACACUAUAUGACCACUAAAAAUUGAGAUGUGACUUACAUAUAUCGUACCCCUCAGAAUACCUAGCCCCAUGAAAAGACUUCUUAAUACCAAUUAAGGGACUAGUUCAUCCAAGAAUCAAAUAUGUCAGUAAUAUUUGACACAAAUAUUACUUAAAAACACAAAUCUGUUAUUUUUCUUAUAUCAAUAAAAAUUUCCUUCUGUCUUUCAGAUUUUUCUGAUAAUGUUUUUCAAUGUCUUGACUGUCUUGAACAAUUAUAUAUCUGUUAGUUUUUUGCUUCAUACUAAUGACAAUUCCCUAGUUCAACAGUAAUGAGAACUAAGGCAUUAAACUUAAAAGGCUCUAAACAGGUUUAAAUGUGGUAAAAUAUUAUUGUAAUAGAAUUGUAAUGUAUUUCUUUUCUAC